UCCAGACCCGGCCGCUGCCGGUCGGCCCGCUGGUUGGUCGGUUAGUUGGUCGGUGGGUCGGUGGCCUAGAGCUCGCUUCUCGGCUCUCAUGUUCGGAGGUGGGAGGGACACGGGAAAGGCCCGCACACCUGAGCUGCCCGGAGAGGAUCCCCGCACCCAGGAGAAGGAGGAGACUAAACAGGGGGAAGGACUCAUGGCUUCUGAUGCGAGUCACGUGCUGGAAGCUGCCCUGGAGCAGAUGGACGGGAUCAUUGCAGGCACUAACACAGGGGUAGAUAUUAGCGAUGACACCUGUGAGCCUGGACUGGCCUCCGCGGCUUCCUACGUGAACCCCUUCCCGGUGCUGCGUCUCGUCGAGGACUUGAGGCUGGCCCUGGAGAUGCUGGAGCAUUCUCAGGAGAGAGCAGCCCUCCUGAGCCAGAUCCCAGGCCCCACAGCUGCCUACAUAAAGGGGUGGUUCGAGGAGAGCUUGUCCCAGGUAAAUCACCACAGUGCUGCUAGUAAUGAAACGUACCAGGAACGCUUAGCACGUCUAGAAGGAGAUAAGGAGUCCCUCAUAUUACAGGUGAGUGUCCUCACAGACCAAGUGGAAGCCCAAGGAGAGAAGAUUCGGGACCUGGAAGUGUGUCUGGAAGGGCACCAGGUGAAACUCAAUGCUGCUGAAGAGAUGCUUCAACAGGAGCUGCUAAGUCGUACAUCUCUUGAGACUCAGAAGCUCGAUCUGAUGACUGAAGUGUCUGAGCUGAAGCUCAAGCUGGUGGGCAUGGAGAAGGAGCAGAGAGAGCAGGAAGAGAAGCAGAAAAAAGCAGAGUCGGUUCUGAAUGUGAUCAGUGAGCUGCAGGAGCAGAUGUGUAGGCUGCAGCUGGACAUCCACAGGCAGAUUCAAGAGCGCCUCUCACUCAGUAGGGACCACCCUGAGGAGGUGGCAGCCGGCGACGGUGCGGCCCGGCCCCAGCCCUGCGGCCAGGAGUGUGCCCGUUGGGAGGGGUCACCUGAGUUACUGCAGGAGCUCCGGCACCUCAAAAUCAAGGUGGAAGAGUUGGAAAAUGAACGGAACCAGUAUGAAUGGAAACUGAAGGCCACCAAGGCUGAGGUAGCCCAGCUGCAAGAGCAGGUAGCCCUGAAGGAUGCAGAAAUUGAGCGUCUGCACAGCCAGCUCUCCCGGACCGCAGCUCUGCACAAUGACCAUGCAGAGAAAGACCAAGAAAUCCAACGUCUGAAAAUGGGGAUGGAAACUUUGCUUGUUGCCAAUGAAGAUAAGGACCGUCGGAUAGAGGAGCUUACUGGGCUGUUAAACCAGUACCGAAGGGUGAAUGAGAUCGUGAUGGCGACUCAAGGGCCUUCAGAAAGAACUCUCUCAAUCAAUGAGGAAGAACUGGAGGGAGGUUUCAGAAACUGGAACACUGCAAAUAAAGGCCCUGAAGAACUUUUUAAACCAGAGGUAUCUCCAAGAGGUAGCUCUCCCACGGUGGGACCACCCCCGCUACCGCAGAAAUCACUGGAAAGCAGGGCUCAGAAAAAACUCUCCUGUAGUCUCGAAGACUUGAGAAGUGAAUCCGUGGAUAAGUGUGUCGGUGGGAACCAGCUCUCCCCAGUGGUAGAACCCAAGGACGGCCCUUUCCUGGUGGAGCACAAGUACCCCACGUUACCUGGGAAGCUUUCAGGAGCCAUGCCCAACGGAGAGGCUGCCAGAUCUUCUCCCACUGCCUCCCCGCAUGACCCUGCAGGGAGCGGCCUGCUGAGGCUGAAUCGUGGCCGGAGUGUCAGUGCCCCCGUGCUAGGAGACACAGAAAGUGGUUGGGACGACACUGCUGUGGUCAAUGACCUCUCAUCCAUGUCAUCGGGCACCGAGUCCAGCCCCCAGUCUCCCGUGACACCAGAUGGUAAACGGAGCCCCAAAGGCAUCAAGAAAUUCUGGGGAAAAAUCCGAAGGACUCAGUCAGGAAAUUUCAACACCGAUGCCCCGGGGGUGGCCGAGUUUCGACGAGGUGGACUCCGGGCAACUGCAGGGCCAAGACUCUCUAGGACCAGAGACCCCAAGGGUCAGAAAAGUGAUGCCAACGCCCCCUUCGCCCAGUGGAGCACAGAGCGUGUGUGUGCAUGGCUGGAGGACUUUGGCCUGGCUCAGUACGUGAUCUUUGCCAGGCAGUGGGUGACUUCUGGCCACACUUUACUGACAGCUACCCCUCAGGACAUGGAAAAGGAGCUGGGAAUUAAGCACCCUCUUCAUAGGAAAAAGCUGGUUUUAGCAGUGAAAGCCAUCAACACCAAGCAGGAGGAGAAGUCUGCACUACUAGACCACAUUUGGGUGACACGUUGGCUUGAUGAUAUUGGCUUACCCCAGUACAAAGACCAGUUUCAUGAAUCCAGAGUCGACGGGCGAAUGCUGCAGUACCUAACUGUGAAUGAUCUACUUUUCCUAAAAGUCACCAGCCAACUACAUCAUCUCAGCAUCAAAUGUGCCAUUCACGUGCUGCAUGUCAACAAGUUCAACCCUCACUGCCUGCACCGGCGGCCAGCUAAUGAGAGUAACCUUUCUCCUUCAGAAGUUGUGCAGUGGUCCAACCACAGGGUGAUGGAAUGGUUGCGGUCCGUGGACCUGGCGGAAUAUGCGCCCAACCUUCGUGGGAGUGGCGUCCAUGGAGGUCUCAUUAUCCUGGAGCCACGCUUCACUGGGGACACCCUGGCCAUGCUUCUCAAUAUCCCACCACAAAAGACACUCCUCAGACGCCAUCUGACCACCAAAUUCAAUGCCUUGAUUGGCCCUGAGGCUGAGCAGGAGAAGCGAGAGAAAAUGACUUCACCUGCUUACACGCCACUGACCACCACAGCCAAAGUCCGGCCAAGGAAACUGGGAUUUUCACAUUUUGGAAACAUAAGAAAAAAGAAGUUCGAUGAAUCGACAGACUACAUUUGCCCAAUGGAGCCCAGCAACAGUGUCGGUGACAGUCACAGGGUCUGUAUUGGCUACCAGGGCCUCAGCCCCCUCGAUGCCCCUGAACUGGAUGGGCUGGACCAGAUGGCACCUUCGGAAGGCACCCUGACGCAGAUAGGGCUCCUCUCCCAAGACAUUCACCGCCUCACGACUAUGCUCAGCCAGGACCAGCUGCUGACCGACUCCCGCCUGGCCGCUCCCAACUCUGAGGACUGGUGAUGACUGUCUUAUCGCUGGCAGCCCGGAGAGGCACGUGUGAGGGCCUGAGUCUGCUUCGAUGGGGAGCUGGCCCAUGGCCACCCGCAGAGCCCAGGCUGGGCUACAGGACAUCUCUAACAUGGGUGCUGAUGGGACAAAGCGGGGCUGUGGAACAGAUGUCCAGGAGGUUCUCAGGGCUGCGGGGCCUCCCAGCAUCUGAGCAGAGGCGUCUUCGAAGCCUUUCCCUUCUCAGCCUCAGAGGCAACUGUCUGAUCAAACAGCACCUCGCUCUCCCCGCCACCCCGAGGAAGGCCCUCAGGCACCCAAAUCAACAUUUCCACCGCAACACAUCUCAGGUAUGCCCUACCUCAGGGAGAGGUACCGGCCACACAACUCCCUCCCAACCAGCCUUCCCCCUUAGCUAUGGCCCUUCGUCCUCCCUGCGGCGGCUCUAGCUCUGGCCUCAUCUCUCGUCUAAUUUCCAUGGUGGGUCUCCUACUUGGUCCCUCACCCUUCCUUUCCAGUCAGUCCCCUCCAGGUGUUCGCCACCCCAUCCCCAGAGGGACCUUCCCAAAGCACUGUUUCAUCCUGUUACCUGCUAAGAACUCAGUUCCACAACUACCACAGAUUAGCGUUCAAAAGCCUGAGCACCCAAGACCCUUUUGAAUCUUCAGCAUUCCACGCUCUAGCCUGUGCUCCUGCCUUUCCCUCACCGUGGAAUGUAUUUUUCUCCUAGUCCCUGUCACAAAGCUGAAUCCUGCCUGCUGAGGUCCACAACAGCCCCAGCCUCUUUCAGGAAGCCUUCACUGGUGUUUGUUAGGGUUGGAGGUCUCUGUCCCACGGUGCUGACCUUGAGCCCGAGCACUUCCUGGCUCACCUUGAAGUAAUGUGUCAUCUUUCUCCCCUUCCACACCUAUCCUCAACACAAACUCACUGAGCACCUGCUAUGGAUGGGUUCCCGUACAGACAGGAGUUAAGACCCAAUCCUAGCCCUCUGAUGGCCCAGGAGAUCCAUGAUGCUAAGUUCUCCAUCUGCUCAUUCCCUCGUAUGUGCAGGUUGAGUACCUUCCCUUCUGGGCUAAGGAGCACUGGGGCUACGGGCGUGAAUGUCAAGGUCCUUGCCUGAGGGUGUGGAUGGUCCAGUGUGGGAGAACAGAUCUGUUUCAGACAAGAGUGUACUGAACGUUACAGAUGCUCCAAUAGAAGUGCCUACAGCCCCAAAGAGCAAAUUGUCAUUUUUAAUGGAGGGCUGGGGACAGGGACUGAAAAGCCUCCAAGGAGAGGUGCUACUUGAAUUUUGAAAGAUGAAUCAGGUUCCUCAAGUAUGCCAGAGGGGAAAGCCACUCCAGGCAGACGGACCUGAAACAACCCAGCACAUCCAAGGAAGUACCCGAAGUCAGUAUGAUGAGAGCAGAAUUUCUUGACCUCUGCACUGCUGUCAUUUGGCGUUGG
RNA transcript from Balaenoptera ricei (Rice's whale), 4585 nucleotides. It is a transcript of the gene named PPFIA binding protein 2, with no coding region annotated. Lineage: Eukaryota; Metazoa; Chordata; Mammalia; Artiodactyla; Balaenopteridae. The record is from RefSeq and is a predicted model, not a curated record. The transcript has 29 exons.